This 468-nucleotide ribosomal RNA is filed under the name uncultured bacterium. RNAcentral's name for it is "partial 16S ribosomal RNA". It matches the Rfam family "Bacterial small subunit ribosomal RNA", at positions 28 to 507 of the family's 1533-position model. The record is from RNAcentral.
GACGAGCGCUGGCGGCGUGCUUAACACAUGCAAGUCGAACGGAAAGGUCCUGCUUUUGUGGGGUGCUCGAGUGGCGAACGGGUGAGUAACACGUGAGUAACCUGCCCUUGACUUUGGGAUAACUUCAGGAAACUGGGGCUAAUACCGGAUAGGAGCUCCUGCUGCAUGGUGGGGGUUGGAAAGUUUCGGCGGUUGGGGAUGGACUCGCGGCUUAUCAGCUUGUUGGUGGGGUAGUGGCUUACCAAGGCUUUGACGGGUAGCCGGCCUGAGAGGGUGACCGGCCACAUUGGGACUGAGAUACGGCCCAGACUCCUACGGGAGGCAGCAGUGGGGAAUAUUGCACAAUGGGCGGAAGCCUGAUGCAGCAACGCCGCGUGCGGGAUGACGGCCUUCGGGUUGUAAACCGCUUUCGCCUGUGACGAAGCGUGAGUGACGGUAAUGGGUAAAGAAGCACCGGCUAACUACGUG